AGUGAACGCUGGCGGUAGGCCUAACACAUGCAAGUCGAACGGCAGCACAGUAAGCGCUUGCUCUUACGGGUGGCGAGUGGCGGACGGGUGAGGCAUACAUCGGAAUCUACUUUUUCGUGGGGGAUAACGUAGGGAAACUUACGCUAAUACCGCAUACGACCUACGGGUGAAAGCAGGGGAUCUUCGGACCUUGCGCGAUUGAAUGAGCCGAUGUCGGAUUAGCUAGUUGGCGGGGUAAAGGCCCACCAAGGCGACGAUGCGUAGCUGAUCUGAGAGGAUGAUCAGCCACACUGGAACUGAGACGCGGUCCAGACUCCUACGGGAGGCAGCAGUGGGGAAUAUUGGACAAUGGGCGCAAGCCUGAUCCAGCCAUACCGCGUGGGUGAAGAAGGCCUUCGGGUUGUAAAGCCCUUUUGUUGGGAAAGAAAAGCAGCAGGUUAAUACCCCGCUGUUCUGACGGUACCCAAAGAGUAAGCACCGGCUAACUUCGUG
This 492-nucleotide ribosomal RNA is filed under the name uncultured bacterium. RNAcentral describes it as "partial 16S ribosomal RNA". It matches the Rfam family "Bacterial small subunit ribosomal RNA", at positions 29 to 507 of the family's 1533-position model. The record is from RNAcentral.